UACGAAGGGGGCUAGCGCUGUUCGGAAUCACUGGGCGUAAAGCGCACGCAGGCGGAUCGGUAAGUCGGGGGUGAAAGCACGGGGCUCAACCUCGGAACUGCCUUCGAUACUGUCGGUCUCGAGUCCGGGAGAGGUGAGUGGAAUUCCUAGUGUAGAGGUGAAAUUCGUAGAUAUUAGGAAGAACACCAGUGGCGAAGGCGGCUCACUGGCCCGGUACUGACGCUCAGGUGCGAAAGCGUGGGGAGCAAACAGG
Molecule: ribosomal RNA, 253 nt
Filed under: uncultured bacterium
Lineage: Bacteria
Description: partial 16S ribosomal RNA
Rfam family: Bacterial small subunit ribosomal RNA
Source: RNAcentral